CCUACGGGAGGCAGCAGUGAGGAAUAUUGGUCAAUGGCCGCAGGGCUGAACCAGCCAAGUCGCGUGAGGGAUGAUGGUCCUAUGGAUUGUAAACCUCUUUUGUCAGGGAGCAAAGGGCGCCACGUGUGGCGCUUUGCGAGUACCUGAAGAUAAAGCAUCGGCUAACUCCGUCCAAGCAGCCGCGGUAAUACGGAGGAUGCGAGCGUUAUCCGGAUUUAUUGGGUUUAAAGGGUGCGCAGGCGGAAUGUCAAGUCAGCGGUAAAGUUUCGGGGCUCAACCCCGUCGUGCCGUUGAAACUGGCGUUCUUGAGUGAGCGAGAAGUAUGAGGAAUUCGUGGUGUAGCGGUGAAAUGCUUAGAUAUCACGAAGAACUCCGAUUGCGAAGGCAGCCUACUAAACUGCCACUGACAUUGAUGCUCGAAAGUGUGGGUAUCAAACAGGAUUAGAUACCCCUGUAGUC
This 459-nucleotide ribosomal RNA is filed under the name uncultured bacterium. Its description in RNAcentral is "partial 16S ribosomal RNA". It matches the Rfam family "Bacterial small subunit ribosomal RNA", at positions 338 to 795 of the family's 1533-position model. The record is from RNAcentral.